CGCGGAGUAGAGCAGUUUUGUAGCUCGCAAGGCUCAUAACCUUGAGGUUCCAAUCCCGUCUCCGCAA
RNAcentral lists this transfer RNA (67 nucleotides) under Galeola lindleyana. Its description in RNAcentral is "tRNA-Met". The record is from RNAcentral. Lineage: Eukaryota; Viridiplantae; Streptophyta; Magnoliopsida; Asparagales; Orchidaceae.